RNAcentral lists this microRNA (24 nucleotides) under Branchiostoma floridae (Florida lancelet). RNAcentral's name for it is "bfl-miR-4867". Lineage: Eukaryota; Metazoa; Chordata; Leptocardii; Amphioxiformes; Branchiostomatidae. The record is from miRBase by way of RNAcentral.
GGCGAGCCACGGCCUAGUGGGUUC